GACAAACUUGAUUCACAUGAUUUGGAGGAGGCACAUUUUUAUAUUUUGAAGAACUGUGAUGAAAUUCAACCAUUUCUCGAAGAAUUUUCACAAAUUCAUAGUGAGGCCUCUCAACAAAGUUCAGAUGUGGAGUGGAAUAGACAAUUCAUUAGUUGGUUACAAAAGAAGGUUGCAGAGUUGUACAAACAUGAUGAUAGUAAGAGAAUGGCA
Long non-coding RNA from Solanum tuberosum (potato), 210 nucleotides. RefSeq lists it as uncharacterized. The transcript has 3 exons. Lineage: Eukaryota; Viridiplantae; Streptophyta; Magnoliopsida; Solanales; Solanaceae. The record is from RefSeq and is a predicted model, not a curated record.